RNAcentral lists this long non-coding RNA (315 nucleotides) under Helianthus annuus (common sunflower). RNAcentral describes it as "sRNA HanXRQr2_Chr16g0741851". Lineage: Eukaryota; Viridiplantae; Streptophyta; Magnoliopsida; Asterales; Asteraceae. The record is from RNAcentral.
UGGUCGAACAGAACAAGAGGGGGCGACCAGGGUUUUCUUUUCAAACCCAAUUUCUCACAAAAGCUCAAAAUUGGAAGCCUAAAUCAAGUCUAAAUCAAUUUUCGAGCAUAGAUUCAUGAUCACCUAGUUGAAAGGAUCAUAAGGCAAAGAGUCCGGAUCGCCAAGCGGACAAGCCGUAGGGAAUACGCGUGGGAAAUGUGUGCUCUAAAGGUAAAGAUGCUCUUUAGACUCCGGAGGAUGAUCAAGCCAUGUCAAGAACCGAACACACCGAACAAAGCUUCCGCAUUUUGUCUGUUUUGUUUUAGUGACAUGUAA